UACGAAGGGGGCUAGCGUUGUUCGGAAUUACUGGGCGUAAAGGGCGCGUAGGCGGUGUGUCAAGUCAGGCGUGAAAGCCCCGGGCUCAACCUGGGAACCGCGCUUGAGACUGGCGCGCUCGAGUUCGGGAGAGGAUGGUGGAAUUCCCAGUGUAGAGGUGAAAUUCGUAGAUAUUGGGAAGAACACCGAUGGCGAAGGCAGCCAUCUGGACCGACACUGACGCUGAGGCGCGAAAGCCAGGGGAGCAAACGGG
Molecule: ribosomal RNA, 253 nt
Filed under: uncultured bacterium
Lineage: Bacteria
Description: partial 16S ribosomal RNA
Rfam family: Bacterial small subunit ribosomal RNA
Source: RNAcentral